AUACGGAGGAUCCGAGCGUUAUCCGGAUUUAUUGGGUUUAAAGGGUGCGUAGGCGGGACUGUAAGUCAGGGGUGAAAUACUGCAGCUUAACUGUAGCCUUGCCUUUGAAACUGCCGUUCUUGAGUACAGUUGAGGUAGGCGGAAUGUGGGGUGUAGCGGUGAAAUGCAUAGAUAUACCACAGAACGCCGAUUGCGAAGGCAGCUUACUAAGCUGUUACUGACGCUGAGGCACGAAAGCGUGGGGAUCAAACAGGAUUAGAUACCCUGGUAGUCCACGCUGUAAACGAUGAUUACUGGUUGUUAGCGAUAUAUAGCUAGUGACUGAGCGAAAGCAUUAAGUAAUCCACCUGGGGAGUACGUCGGCAACGAUGAAACUCAAAGGAAUGGACGGGG
This 393-nucleotide ribosomal RNA is filed under the name uncultured bacterium. RNAcentral's name for it is "partial 16S ribosomal RNA". It matches the Rfam family "Bacterial small subunit ribosomal RNA", at positions 523 to 918 of the family's 1533-position model. The record is from RNAcentral.